CAGGCCAGCAUCAGUUUGGGCGGUCGGAAAAAGGCUUUGGGAAUGUAGCUCCUCUCGGGGAGUGUUAUAGCCCAUCGUGAAAUACGGCCCGCCCGGACUGAGGUCCGCGCUCUGCUAGGAUGCUGGCGUAAUGGCUGUAAGCGG
RNAcentral lists this ribosomal RNA (144 nucleotides) under Gloniaceae sp. RNAcentral describes it as "partial large subunit ribosomal RNA". Lineage: Eukaryota; Fungi; Ascomycota; Dothideomycetes; Gloniales; Gloniaceae. The record is from RNAcentral.